This 83-nucleotide transfer RNA is filed under the name Candidatus Parcubacteria bacterium. Its description in RNAcentral is "tRNA-Leu". It matches the Rfam family "tRNA". From Rfam's summary of the family: Transfer RNA (tRNA) molecules are approximately 80 nucleotides in length. Lineage: Bacteria; Candidatus Parcubacteria. The record is from RNAcentral.
GCCCGGGUGGUGGAAUGGUAUACACGCAAGACUUAAAAUCUUGUGCCAGCAAUGGCUUGUGGGUUCGAGUCCCACCCCGGGCA